CGUUCUGUAAGCCUGCGAAGGUGUGCUGUGAGGCAUGCUGGAGGUAUCAGAAGUGCGAAUGCUGACAUAAGUAACGAUAAAGCGGGUGAAAAGCCCGCUCGCCGGAAGACCAAGGGUUCCUGUCCAACGUUAAUCGGGGCAGGGUGAGUCGACCCCUAAGGCGAGGCCGAAAGGCGUAGUCGAUGGGAAACAGGUUAAUAUUCCUGUACUUGGUGUUACUGCGAAGGGGGGACGGAGAAGGCUAUGUUGGCCGGGCGACGGUUGUCCCGGUUUAAGCGUGUAGGCUGGUUUUCCAGGCAAAUCCGGAAAAUCAAGGCUGAGGCGUGAUGACGAGGCACUACGGUGCUGAAGCAACAAAUGCCCUGCUUCCAGGAAAAGCCUCUAAGCAUCAGGUAACAUCAAAUCGUACCCCAAACCGACACAGGUGGUCAGGUAGAGAAUACCAAGGCGCUUGAGAGAACUCGGGUGAAGGAACUAGGCAAAAUGGUGCCGUAACUUCGG
Molecule: ribosomal RNA, 501 nt
Filed under: Escherichia coli
Lineage: Bacteria; Pseudomonadati; Pseudomonadota; Gammaproteobacteria; Enterobacterales; Enterobacteriaceae
Description: partial 23S ribosomal RNA
Rfam family: Bacterial large subunit ribosomal RNA
Source: RNAcentral